RNAcentral lists this unclassified non-coding RNA (329 nucleotides) under soil metagenome. RNAcentral describes it as "partial contains 5.8S ribosomal RNA, internal transcribed spacer 2, and large subunit ribosomal RNA". The stretch from base 1 to 120 matches the Rfam family "5.8S ribosomal RNA", at positions 35 to 154 of the family's 154-position model. The record is from RNAcentral.
GAUGAAGAACGUAGCGAAAUGCGAUAAGUAAUGUGAAUUGCAGAAUUCAGUGAAUCAUCGAAUCUUUGAACGCACAUUGCGCCCCCUGGCAUUCCGGGGGGCAUGCCUGUUCGAGCGUCAUUACAACCCUCAAGCUCUGCUUGGUGUUGGGCUCUGCUGGGACCGGCAGGCCUUAAAAUCAGUGGCGGCGCCACUCGGCUUCAAGCGUAGUAAUUCUUCUCGCUUCGGAGACCCGGGUGCGUGCUAGCCAGCAACCCCCAACUUUCUUAGGUUGACCUCGGAUCAGGUAGGGAUACCCGCUGAACUUAAGCAUAUCAAUAAGCGGAGGA